This 425-nucleotide ribosomal RNA is filed under the name alpha proteobacterium ML36. RNAcentral describes it as "bacterial SSU rRNA". It matches the Rfam family "Bacterial small subunit ribosomal RNA", at positions 18 to 489 of the family's 1533-position model. Lineage: Bacteria; Pseudomonadati; Pseudomonadota; Alphaproteobacteria; Sphingomonadales; Sphingomonadaceae. The record is from RNAcentral.
CCUGGCUCAGAACGAACGCUGGCGGCAUGCCUAACACAUGCAAGUCGAACGAGACCUUCGGGUCUAGUGGCGCACGGGUGCGUAACGCGUGGGAACCUGCCUUUAGGUUCGGGAUAACAGUUGGAAACGACUGCUAAUACCGAAUAAUGUCUUCGGACCAAAGAUUUAUCGCCUUUAGAUGGGCCCGCGUUGGAUUAGGUAGUUGGUGGGGUAAAGGCCUACCAAGCCGACGAUCCAUAGCUGGUCUGAGAGGAUGAUCAGCCACACUGGGACUGAGACACGGCCCAGACUCCUACGGGAGGCAGCAGUGGGGAAUAUUGGACAAUGGGCGAAAGCCUGAUCCAGCAAUGCCGCGUGAGUGAUGAAGGCCUUAGGGUUGUAAAGCUCUUUUACUGGGGAUGAUAAUGACAGUACCCAGAGAAUAA